CCUGUGGAUAAUAUAUUGAGGUUAUUAUUUCUAAUGUAUUUUUCCAGUGUUCUACCUCGAGGUGUAAUGUUUCUUGAUCCCCAGAGCGUGUGCUUUGAGUUGUAGUCUCCCGCUGCGAUGUACUUGUCCCCUAGGUCCUGGAAGUAUUCUUCCCACAUUUGUGAUGUUAUUUUGUGUCGCGGAGGCACAUAUACUGCUGACAACUGGAAGUAGUUGCUGCUAGUUUGAACUGUAACGGUGGUUGCUUGUAAAUAUUCCUUCUUAACUUGGCUGUGUAGAUAAUGUUUGUUGAAGUGGUCACCACUUCUAGGAAAACGCAGUUCGUUCGUGAGUGCCGAGGCGUGCAGA
Molecule: unclassified non-coding RNA, 348 nt
Filed under: Bombus terrestris (buff-tailed bumblebee)
Lineage: Eukaryota; Metazoa; Arthropoda; Insecta; Hymenoptera; Apidae
Description: misc RNA ENSBTSG00005028008.1
Source: RNAcentral